This 14190-nucleotide long non-coding RNA is filed under the name Sorghum bicolor (sorghum). RNAcentral's name for it is "long non-coding RNA (SBIC_LNC013003)". The record is from RNAcentral. Lineage: Eukaryota; Viridiplantae; Streptophyta; Magnoliopsida; Poales; Poaceae.
CUCCUUUGCAAAGUGUGCCAACACCACCAAGUGUACACCACCAUGUGCAAGUGUGUUAGCAUUUUCAUAAACAUUUUCCCAAAGGAGUUAGCCUCUCAACUUGCCACGCCACUCGAUCCCAACACGUAUGCAAAGUUAGAUCGCUCAAGUGGCACUAGAUGACCGAUAUGCAAACAAGUUUGCCCCUCUUGAUAGUACGACCAUCUAUCCUAAAUCCGGUCAUAAACUUCUCUACACACCUAUGACUGGUGAAAUGGAAAAGCCCUAGGUUAUACCUUUGCCUUGCGCUUUCCAUUCCAUCUCCUACAAUGUUGAUGCAACACAUGCACCAACCAAUCACCAAAUGAUAUGAUCCACUUCAUAUCAUCAUGUGACCGUAUUGUUUCAUCGAUCUUGACCUCACUUGCUCUUCACUGUUGCCUCGGUCCAUCGGCGCCAAGUCUUGCUCAAGCUUCACCGUCACACACGGUCCCUCGCUUCAAAGCCUCCAACUUGCCCUUCACUCUUGCAACCGGUUCAUCAAGCCAAGCCUCAUCCUGAUCUUCUCCACCUUGGUCACAUGACUCCAUGUCAUGUCUCAUAUGCAAUGAGCUCCUCCAUCAUCACAUAAUCACCUGUGGACUAAUCUCCUGUGUAUCUCACAUAAACACUAUUAGUCCACCUAAGUUGUCACUCAAUUACUAAAACCAAACAAGGACCUUUCAAUCUCUCCCUUUUUGGUAAUUGAUGACAACUGUGCAAAGAUAUGGAAAUUAAGCUUUUUCAAGCUAGCACUUCACACAAGUGUAAAUUGCUAACUUGAUUUGGAUUUUAUGCUACUUAUCCAACAUUUAAGCUCUAUGUCAAGAUUUGGAUAAGCACCACAUAACCCUACUAAGUGCUAAGGUGUAUAGAAUAAACCUUUGUAGCUUGAUACCAAAUUCGAUAUCAUUUGAAGCAUUCAAUGUACACCAUCCUUAUCACCAUGUGUAGCUAGACAACAAAAACACUAGAAACCCCGUGAGAUCAACAUUAAAAGUAAGGGUCUAGUCUUUACUUGAAGAACACAAGUCUAGCUACCAACCUAUGCAUGCUAGUUAUCAUAUCAUCAAUCAAGUUCUAUAACUAGCAUACACCACACAAGCAUGCAUAUUGAAUUUAAAAACUUAUGCAAUGCAAGCAAGCACAUGAAUAUGCACAAAUCAAAUGCAAUCAAUCAAUGUUCAUGAGCUUGCUCCCCCUACUUGUGUGCUUUUCUUUUGUCCAAGAAUUUUGAUCCAUCAUCUUUUCUUUUAAUGUUGCUCCCUUGUCCAUGUCCAUCUUUGAUCUUUCCCUCUUGAAACAUAUCUUUUGUUGUCCAACUUAUCCCAUGAUCUUAUCUUUGUUCCAACUUCUCCCCCUUUGUCAUCAAAUUCCAUAAAGGGUGUGUGAUACCAAUUAGAUCACUUGAUACCAAUCGAAAAAGUGUGAAUCUCAUUGUGAGAAAGGAUUGCAUUGGGAUAGAUGGUUGAGGUUUGAAUCUUGCAUUUUUUAUGGACAUCACCAUAUGUGUUGGAAUGACAUUACUUGAAUUGCUCUUGAGAUACCACAUAGGAUCUUUGACCUUGAUACCAUUUGGUGGGGCACUCCCCCUAUGUCAUAGCAUGGGUCAUUCACUUGUCAAUCUUGUUGGUGAGGGAACUUUUCUUCUCUUGAUGAUCACUUAAAGUUGAGGAUCACUUGUGGAACCACCUUCUUGUAUGAUAGAUACCAUAUGUAUAAAUGUGAUAUCAUUUGAAGUGUCUUGUCCGAUACCAUAUGGGAUUCUUCUACCAAUUAAGGUCUUCUAAUAUGGAACCACUUGUUUGCUAUCUUGAACAUCUGUUAUCAUCAUGAGUACCAUUCGUAGGAUAUCAAUUGAAGAAACAUUUUAAGUCUAGAUAUCCAUUUGCAUUGUUGUCUUGUUCUUGUACUCUAAUCAUCAUGAGCUUCUAAUUGUUGACUUGAACUAUGUUGAUUUGCCUAAGCUUCCAAGUCCGGUUUGAACCAAUGACAAGCUUUUUCACACCUCACAUUAAGGGUUAUCUUGCCAAUGUUGUACUUGUCACUUGUUAACAAUCCAAAAUCGAUCAAGUUCUUGGGUUCACUAGCUCAUGAACAAACUCAUACACAUACCACUAGAUCAACUAAUCAUUCAAGCAAUAGUGGUAGGUUAUGAAUUUAAAACUUUUCAUUUGUCAUGCAUGAUCCUAUUGAGCAUGUACUAUAUGCACUAACCGCAUACUAGUAAAGGAUGAAAUGAUCAUGCACAUUACAAUGAUACCUUUGCUCUGUUGGAGAAGAGGAUAGUCACAUAGAUUCCAAUUUAUUUCUCCAAUAGCAAUGUGAAGUCCAAUUAAUAAGCUUGGUGAAGACCAAUUAUAAAUGCCAAUUGAUAGAUCAAAUCUUCACCCAUAUGAAUGGAGAACCACUUAUUGAUGAAGUGCACUAUCUUGUUGUGGUUGGCUUGCUUCUUCUUUUGACCAUUUCUUGCAUGAGAGAAUUACUAAGAAUAUCACUUGAAAUAGCAUGACUAGCUCUCUUUUGGGUGUUGCUUGCUUUCUUGAUCAAUCCUUUUGAUUGCUUCAACUAAGCAUCUUAAAUGUCCUUUAUAUCACCACUUCCAUGUUAGCCUUCCAAGCACCACACUUGGUUUACCCACUCCUCGGGCGGCACGCCCCUCACAUAGGGAGAAGUGACCUCUCUCCAAAGAACUAAUUUUGAUACUCACUUGAAUUGCUUUGAUUGAUUGAUUCAAGUAACAUACUUAAUGUGAUGAGUAACCAUAAAUCCUUCUUUAAGUCCUUUUCUUCUACUUGUUUAAGUUCUUUUCUUUCUACUAAAUGAUCUCCAAUAGUCACUAGAACUUAAACUAUAUUUUCAUCUUAAGUUUGAUCUUGAUCUUCAAUUUGAGUACUAAAUGUGUACACCAAGUACAUUCCACAAUCAAAUGACCUUGUACUCAUUACUUGUCAUGCUUCUAGAUCAAUUCAAAACCAAACUUAGGUGCCUCAAACACUUAUGAUCAUGUUUCCAACUUGAGGACCUUUCAAUUGAAGUGACUCUAGAUCAAUCCAAUAAUUGUCACUUUUCUGGCAGAUUCUGUACCCUUUAAAGAAAUAUCCAUAUCUCACAAUGUACAGAUCCAAAUACCACGAAAUUUGGUGGAGAUGUGACUCACUAAGUCAUCUAGCGGCUGUAAAAAUUUGAGAUUCAUUUGAAUUCUAGAUUGCUACCAGAUUUCAAUUCUUCCACCAGUGUACAUGCUGAAAAUUGCUACAUUAUAGCUGAUAAGAUCCACUCCAAAACUAGAGUAUCCCUUAUCCAAUCUUCAUGAAAUUUCUACAGCAUCUUCUAUGAUAAGUGAACAGAAUUCAUACCAAAUUUCAAGCCAUUCCAAAUAGAUUUGAUCACUCAAACUCAGACUUGAUCACUGCUAGCUCAGUUUUUCAAUAUUGGACAGAUUUCAAGCAAUUGAGCUAUGCUUCUUUAAAUUGAAUCAAACUUGAAAUAGACUCGUUUGAAUACUUUCACAAGACAUCUAUCCAUUCAAUUCACUUACUAAAAGUCAUCUCAUGAACUUAUUCAACUCAAAUCAAUCCAAACUUGAUUACUAAGCAUUUUAUCCAUUCAAUCAUCUUAUAGCAAGCAACAUUGCAUAUAUAUCCAAUUCAAUCAACUCAUAUGCACCUAAAUGAAUGUGAUCAACAAAGAUAUACCUUGGUUAGCUCAUCAUCAUCUAGUUUGCAAGCUUCAACUCAUGUAAUUGCAAGCCAUCAAAUAAUCCAAUAAAUCACCACCACUUGAAUAUGGCACUUGUAUGUUGUAGCACAUUUGGACUUCACUAUCUUGUCAUGGCAUUGGGUUUGGAUGUGCACUAGGCUUCAAUACUUGACUCAAACAUAUGAUGAACAAUAUAGACUCAAUUGAAUCAAGUCUCCAAUGCCGAUGGUACCUACAAACAAUCAUCCACUUUUUGAUGGUACCCAAACUAGUUUGGGUCCUCUCAAGUUAGGAGCAACAUACUUAGGCAUAGCCUUAGUAUGAGUAGCGAGAUGUUUUACAAUAGCAACCAUAGAGGUACCAUCACCAUCCUUUCUAAGCAUAUUAUGGUUAUCAAUUGAAAUAGACUUAGAACUAUUACCUAGCGGACAUGAAUGAGCCAUGUGUCCCUUUUCCCGGCAUAAGUAGCAACUUCGCUUUGAUUGAGCCUUUUCUUCCUUGCUCAUGUGUUGCUUCUCAUUGCCUUGCCUCUUGAAAGUUGCUUGAGCCUUCUUCUCAAGCUUGGUAGGACACUUCGAGGCAAAGUGUCCAUCAUCCUUGCUCAUCGUCUUGGCAUCUUGGAUUUGCAUUGGAUGCCUUGCUCUUCCACCCCUUCUUGUUUUCUUCUUCUUCAUCAUCAAAUGUCACCUUGAUGGUUGAACUUGACUUGAGCUUGGGGCUUCUUUUCUUGCUCAACUUGUGGCUUAGGUUUUCUUGUUGCUUCACCAAUUGCUUUGUUGGGCACAUUGAGGUGAGAUAACCCCAAGUGCGGCACUUGAAGCACUUGACAUGCCUCUCUUCUUCCUUCAUCUUCUUGAGCUUCUCAAUGUUUGGGCAACCAUUUGCAAGGUGUCCCACUUCAUGGCACCGAUAGCACAUGGUGUGACAAAGCUUCUUUUGAAGUAGCUUCUUCAUCCUCUUUUCUUGCUUUCUUUCGCCCUUUGUCAUCUUCUUCUUGAAGCCAAGGCCACAUUUGUCACCAUAAUUUCUUUGAGUCUUCAAUAUAUGCUCAAAGGUGACUUUUGAGUAGUAGCACCUCUCUAACUUGUUGCUCAAAUUCUUCACUUCACUUUUGAGCUCAUUGUUCUCCUUCAAAAGGUUAGUCUCACAAGACAAAGAAGUAGAACAAGCAUUUGUAUGUGAAGAACAUGGUAUAGCUAGUAAAUCAUCACAAGAGGUGGAUACAUGCUUCUUGCCUACAUCACAAGGGUUAGUAACAAUAUGUGAUUGAUCAUUUGACCCAAAUGAUGAGCUCCCACUAGUUUUAGUUUCUUCAUUAGAAAGCCGCUUAGUGAGAAAAGCAUGAUCUUUUACUAAGUUAUCAUGAGCAACACAAAGUUCCUCAUGAGUCAAUUUUAGCUCCUCAUGUGAACAAGUAGUAACAUAAAGUAGAUGCUUUUGUUGUUCACAUGUGGUCUUUAGAAAUGAGUUUUUGUUUUUCAAUUUACUUGUUUUUGCCAUCUCAUUUCUUAAAGCUUUGGUGAGUCUACAUACAAGCUCAAAAUUUGGAUCAUCACAAUCAACAAUCACACCUCCAAUAGAUACCUUGCCGUCGCCAUGAGACAUGGAGGAAUGUGAUGAAGUGGAUGAGCUUGUAGAAGCAUCACUCUCAUAGCCAUCAUCUUCAUCCUCACUUGACCAUGAGGUAGAGCAAUCCUCCACAACCGCCAUGUUGUGGUCAUGCUCAACAUCCUCACAUGCAUCCACCUUCGGCACAUCAUCUUCUUUGGUGAUCGCCCCAUAUUUCUCAUUGAGAUAACUCCAAAUCUCAUGAGCAGACUUCAUAUCCAUGAUCUCACCAAAUAUGUUAUAUUUCAUGGAUGAAUAGAAGAUGUUAGUAGCUUGGUAGUCGAGAUGUAGACAUUUCUCUUGUGCUUGAGUUAGAUUCUCUUCAUCCAACACAAGAGAAAAGCCUACAUCUACCAUCCAUCACAUUUGAGGAGAAAUAAAGUUAAAAUUGCAUGUCAUCCAAUUUCUCCACGGUGCAAAGUGUGUGCCAUCAAAAAUGUGUGGACACUCAACAUCUAGCCCAUAAGCCGCCAUCCUCUCGGGUCGGUGAAGACCACAAAUGAGAGACCUAGCUCUGAUACCACUUGAACGGUCGAGAUGGCGGACUAGAGGGGGGUGAAUAGUCCUUUCUAAAACUUAUUCCGUCGGCUCACCGAAACAAAUGCGGAAUUAAAACUAUCGGUCUAGCCAAGACUACACCCCUCUAUCUAAGUUCUCUAGCACCUUGAAAAGAUCCUAAACAAGCAAGCAAGGUGCUACCUUAGCAAGAGCUCACCUAACCAAAUCUAGAAGCAAGGUCACACAAACCUAUGCAACUAGUACAUUGCAAACCGGGGGAGCUCCUACACAAACUAGUGAGGCAAAGCGCACAAAGCCUAAGCUCACUAGCAAGCUCAAUAACAAGGCAACUAAUGCCAAAUUAGAGAGCACAACUUACAAGCUACACAAACUAAGCAAUGUGACUAACAAGGUUACAUAAACUAAAUUAGUCACGCAAGGGAACUACUUCUAGCUACACAAGCAAGAAGGUAACUAGCAAGCUACACAAGCUAACUAGUUACAAGAGCAACUACUCAAGCACAAACAAGAGAAUGUAAAUACAAGCUUGUGUUAUGGACUUGAAAACCAACGGGAAGAACAAAGUUGACACGAUGAUUUUCUCCCGAGGUUCACUUGGUGUUACACGAACCUCGUCCCCACUAGGACACCGCAAGAACCUACCCACAAGUGAGGUAGCUCAAUGACACGCACGAUCCAAUAGAGUUGCUCUUCGCGAUCCCCACGGGGUGAGCACCGUACCUCUCAGAAUCUCUUCUCCGGAGCACCGCACAAUCUUCUUGCGUGCUUCGACGGAGUCACAAGCCACCAAGCCGUCUAGGAGGUGGCAACCUCCAAGAGUAACAAGCACCACCAGCUUGCAACACGAACACCUAGUGCCACUCGAUGCAAUCUCUCAAUGCAACGCACUAGAAUCGCUCACUCACACAAUCGGAUGAUCACUAUCAAGCAUAUGUGAGUUAGAGGCUUUGCUAGCACUCCCCAAGCAUGGACACUAAGUCCUAAGGGUGCUCAGCACCAGCCAAGACCGGCCACCACUUCUAUUUAUAGCCCCAAGGGCUAAACUAGCUAUUGCCCCUUCACUAAGCAAAACACGAGGGCACCGGACGCUCACAGGGAGCCACCGGACGCUCAACUCACAGCGUCCAGUGCUCAGGCGUCUGCCACGUGUCACUAGCUGUUUGAACUCGACCGUUACUGCCAACGGCUAACACAUGCGCGCGCCUCACACAGAAGCAUCGGAUGCGUCCGGUGCGUAGAGAGCUCUGCAAACUCGCAGGGUCACCGGACGUGAGCCACCGGACGCACCUUGAGCGUCUGGUGCUCACCGGACUCAUGCGCAGAGAGGGUCGCCAAACCGCCCACACACCGGACGUUGAGCACCGGACUCACUCCGGUGCGUCCGGUGCACUCUGCACACCUGCGCCACAGACUGACACCACACCGGACGCUCUGGACCAACGUCCGGUGUUGCCAACACCAGCGUGUGAUGAGUGUUUCUCAGCAAGAAACACUACCGCGACUUCUCCAAAAUUUUCACCGGCGCAAUAGAAAAUAUACACUUAAAUUUCUCAAAAGCGCCGAAUCCCGCCUCGCAAGCUCGGUGGGUGUUGACGGUCCUUAAUGCUCACAUUUAACCAUCAACUAAUCAUGGAAAAGGAUCUAAAUGGAACCUACACCUAGACUUAGGGUUUUAUCUGACAGAAUUCCACGAGUUUUGGUGUUUGUCUAUUUCUGCAGGGGGUUAUCAGGAGAUAAGGAAGAAAGGCCCACAUGUCGGGUUUACAUAGAGAUAUUAACGUGCCGCGCAAUUUUCUAUCAUCUAGAAGACUCCAGAAGCCACGAGAACAAAGCAGAAGACGAGAGGCCUCAGGGACAGGGCGCCCGCCCUAGUCCUGAGGGCGGCCGCCCUCAGCCAGAGUCCAAUCAGGACUCUCUUUCGGGAUAUUGCUCCACCGACCUAAAGGAUCCAGGAAAACCACAUGAUCAAUGUCGGUUUGAUCCGACGGCCCAGAUUCACUUGAAGGGACUAUAAAACCAGACCCCCUGGCCUCUGGAGAUCAUACCUCUUCUACAGAAUCAAAGCUAGGGUUUCAAUUCUUCAUCCAAGUAGAGAGGAUCCCUCUAGUUCUUCUAGUUUUACCUCUAGUUCAUCUAGAUCUAGUUCUAGUUCAUCUAGUUCUAGUUCUAGUUCCUCUAGUUCUAGUUCUAGUUAGUUCUAGUUGUAAUCUAGUUAGUUCCACUUGAGUAGAUCUCUAUAAAUGCUCUCAUGCUACCUUUAUUUGCUUUAGUAUAUGUCUAGGUUUGGAGUAGUUUCAUUUAUCUCUUAAUUAAGCAUGGUGCUUAGUUUAGGAAUGAUGAUCUUACUUCCAAGGGAGUUUAAAUUAAGUAUGAUGCUUAGAUUAAAAUGCCCUCCUAAAUCAAAUUAGACAUGGUGUCUAGGUUGAUCUUUGAGCCGAUAGUAUGCUAUAGUAGAUAUUGGAUAUUUUGUUGGACUAACCCCUGCAGGAAAACUUUCAAUAUCGACCUGGGAAGUCCUGAGAUAAACUCUCAUUGGAGACAAAGAGAGACACACAUAAAGUUUAACAAUUUACACAAGGAAGGCAUAGCUCACAAGAGAUGAUCCAUGGAGGGUGCUACAAACACGAUGCACAACCACUAAGAAAGGAAAGCUUCCAUAAGGUGAUACUGUACCAUCACUCUUCAAGUAAGGUAACAUCUUAAGGUACUUGACUAUCACUUCUAUAAGCUUCUCCUUAUUUCUGGCAUUCACAUGAGUAAAAGAGACAAACAUGUAAGAUUUACAACUCUAGAUUAACCAACCCAAUCGAUUCAAUAUGUUUAGUCCUUUCAUCUUUGUGAUCCCGCACUCCCCAUCAUAUGAACUAAAAUGUUGCACACUCAAUCUUUGGAAGAUAUAUAUAUAUAAAACAUAAGUAUAGAUAGAUUAUCUUUCCAUUAGGUUGAGUGAUCUGAUCUGACAAAUAUUUUAAAUGCUACACUCAUGAUCUUAUUAUCCAUCAACUUUGUCUUGCUCACUAUGCUUAAGGUUAGAGAAGAGCAAAUACACUUUUGGUUCUGUUGGUGUUUUCCACCAACAGGGCCCAUGCACUUGAUCUCUGCCUUGUCUCUAUGAGCAGGUACACUUCGAGCAAAAUAUAAAGGACUUUUAUAACUCCCAGACUCCACCAAGUGAAGAACCUAGAUCUACGAGCACAAACACACUGGAGAGACUGGACACUCAGGCAAUCACUGCCCUGAGAUGCUUGAGGACAUAACUACUGGAGUAACCCGUGGAAGUAAUUACUGACCUUCUGCCGGUCAAGAGAGGCGAUCCAGGACGCACCGUCAUCCCGAUCUCCAUCGGCAUGGUGGACUUCCCAGAAGUACUCUGUGACUUUGGCUCCAGUGUCAACAUUAUGCCCAGGGGAAUAUUGAAGAACCUCUAUGUCCGAGUUGGUACCUUAUACGCUCCAGCAGACUUCGUGGUGAUAGAGACUGAUACUGAUGAGAGGGCACCCAUCAUCCUAGGGAGGCCAUUCCUGAACACCUCGGGAGCUGUCAUCUACGCUAGUGCUGUCAAGAUCAGUUUCUACAUCAAGGGAAGGACGGAGACGUUUUCCUUCAAGAACAAGACUACACAAAUCUCAGAGCAAUCCUGACAUGAAACAAGGAAGAGGACCAACAGGAGGAACAGGAACAAGCAAAUGUGGACCAAGUCAGCAAAGAUGGUCACUGCAGUUCAAGGAGGUCAAGAUCGUCGACUUAAGUCACCGUUCCUAACCAAAAAGGAUGACCCAAGUAUGCCAAGCAUCCAGUGCUCCAUUGAUGGAUACAAUUUCCAGAAGAUGCUUUGCGACACUGGGUCAGGUGUCAACAUAAUGGCUGCCAGUCACCUAUCAGCUCCUAUUCGGAACCAUGCCCCUAAAACCGACAUACAUUCAGCUCCAGAUGAUUUUAAGGUUAUUGACAUGGGAGAAGACAAGUACGAUCCACCCAUCAUCCUUGGAAGACCAUUCCUCAGCACUGUUAAAGCAAUCAUCUACAUUGGAACCGGAGAAGUCCACAUGCACUUCCCCUCUGAGAAGGUACGCUGCUAUUUUACUGACCUUAACUAUAUAGUUAAAGACUCUAAGCAGGUCAGGACAAGAAGACGAGGACGCGACCGCAACCAGAGGAGACAAAUCAUCAAGGACGGAUGGGUAGACUAUGAAGGAGAAGUUGUAAUGUCUGACGACAUACAACUUGAACAGAACUGUCCUGAGGAGACCGUAGCACCGAGUCAAGUGUGGAGAGAGAAGAUAGUUAUACAUGAAGAGGAGACGCCGCCGGAACCACCGACUACGCCAUCCAGCGAAUCCCAGGACAACUGAGAAAAUAGAGAAUCCCGUUCGGAGGACUUAAAAACACCGAACGCCUUGCCAAGAGGUAAACUUGGUAGUUAUCCUUUUUUCCCUUUCAAUUAUUUAAAAUAGUUUGCUUAGUUAAUCAGGUUCAUAUCAUCUUGAAAAGAAAAUAAAAAUGUUAAAAAUAGUAAGCCCCAUGUGAGUAUGCUCAUGGCAUAAAACCCAUAAGUACAUUCACUGUGGUGGCAUAAAAAAUGAAAUAAAUAUAUUCCUGUCCUAUAAAAAUAAAAUUAUAAAAAUAAAAUUAUGAUCCUACUAAUGAGUAACAUUUAUUGAGGAGGCUCAACAUGAUAAAGGCUAGAUAUUUAUGCUAACACUUAACCAGUUCCACAAAGCUUUGUUGUCUAUUUGAGCUCCACAGAAUUCAAGGAUCAAAGAAGACUAGCAGACGGAGGACAUCCUAAUCGCUAUCAGAGUGCUGCCGACAUUCAAAUACACCUCCGCCACCUGCUAGCUACAUCAAAAGGAAUUACGUCAAAAUCCAGCUUGGGGGAGAGCACCCCCAUUUAUCCAGCUAAGUGUUCUACUCAUGUUUAUAUUUUACUCAAAUAAUAAUGCAUAAUCAUAAAAACCCAAAUAAAGAUUUUGUGCUUAUAUAUAUCUUUGCUUAGUUUGCUAAAUAAAUAAAUAAAUAAAGUUUGCUAUGAACCCUCAUGAUAAGCUCUUACAUGGAAAUGAUGAAUAGUUGCUCUGUCAUGACUAGUUCUCAAAAUUGAAAUCUCUCUCAAGUUUAGGCCUAACUGUUAUGAAUUAAGAUUUGCUCUAAACCUGAACUUGUGGGGAGAGUACUUGAUCUAAAGUCUAAGUUGUUAACGGAUAUGAUAUGGGAAGGUUGAGCUGCUUUUUAUCUGUUCCUAGAGAUGCUAGAAUUUUGGAGAAUUUUAUCUUUGAAAAUCUUUAAAAUGUUGCAUGAUGAGUUCCUUUAUGAUGAGAGUUUAAAUUCCUACCACAGCCAUAUAUACAUGCUUGCUAGACUUUGAGCCACACAUCUACUUUUUACUGCUUAUGAGCAUUGAGUGUGGUCAAGCUGUGUAGACCCUUAGGAGCUUGUCAUGUGGUUAAAUCAAGAUUCACUUGCACGUUCACUCAUACAUGCUGCUUCUACUCUGGAAGUACGCAUCCACAUAUAUCCACCCAUUUCCAUCUCCAGAAUCACCUAAAAAUAUUCUACUCCUAAUCCGGGAGAGAAUAACCAAAAACAUUUCUGUUUUUCCCCUGUGAAAUAAAUACUCAAGUUAUCUUGUUACUACCACUUGCUAUAUUAUUUCAAGAGAUGAGUGCUCUAAAAAAAGAGAGAGAAAAAAAAAGAGAUACGAGGAAAUAAAAAGGGGCAAGUGCCCGGAACCUCGAAAGAAAAGAAAAGAAAAAGUGAGACGAGAGGUAAAAAUGGACAAGUGUCCGACAGUAGAAUUAGAGGUACAAGAUACCCACCUGAGAGAAAAAGAAAAAGAAAAUAUAGAGCAUCUCAUUCUCCUCAAAAAGUUUCAAAAGAGCAAGAAAGGUAUGUAUCCCUUCAAAAGAGCACAAGUAGAAUUAGACUUUCACCAUUGUUAUCACUAUCAUUACCAUACACCAUUCAUUCGCCACACAUGCACAUCUUGAUUUGACUUAUUGACUUGUUCUUUUGGAUCCAUGGUUUGACUAUGCAAUAAAUGUCUUGUAAGUAUGUAUUAGCUGUCUCCCACCUAUGAGCUCCAGAUAUCAAAACCUUAUUAGAGUAGGGUGAGAGAGAAGGCAAUGUCAUUAUGCCUUAUACCAAAAAUACCACAUACUUUGAGAGAAGGCAUACACCACUACUGCCUUGGUAAGGAUCCAGAAAUACCACAAAAGAGAGAAUAGAGAGAGUCAUACAAGGAAUCUCUGAGUUUUAUUUGAAAAUCUGCAAAAACUCCAGAGCUAUAGCUGAUCAAGAAUAAGAGACAUGGUGCUUGACUAGAUUGUUCUAUCUUUUAACUACUCAAGACAGAAGUGACGGUUACAAGUCCCAUGGUGAAAGGUAAAUGAGUAAGUUUUAAGUCUUAACAGUUUACUCUAACCUAGAGAUGAGAUCUUGUUUGAAUGCAUGUAUUCUUUAAGGCAUGAAACCACUGCAGAAACUUUUGAGUUUAUCUUUGCUCAGGGACGAGCAAAGGUAAAGCUUGGGGGAGCUUGUUGACGGUCCUUAAUGCUCACAUUUAACCAUCAACUAAUCAUGGAAAAGGAUCUAAAUGGAACCAACACCUAGACUUAGGGUUUUAUCUGACAGAAUUCCACGAGUUUUGGUGUUUGUCUAUUUCUGCAGGGGGUUAUCAGGAAAUAAGGAAGAAAGGCCCACACGUCGGGUUUAUAUAGAGAUAUUAACGUGCCGCGCAAUUUUCUAUCAUCUAGAAGACUCCAGAAGCCACGGGAACAAAGCGGAAGACGAGAGGCCUCAGGGACAGGGCGCCCGCCCUAGUCCUGAGGGCGCCCGCCCUCAGCCAGAGUCCAAUCAGGACUCUCUUUCGGGAUAUUGCUCCACCGACCUAAAGGAUCAAGGAAAACCACACGAUCAAUGUCGGUUUGAUCCGACGGCCCAGAUUCACUUGAAGGGACUAUAAAACCAGACCCCCCUAGCCCCUGGAGAUCAUACCUCUUCUACAGAAUCAAAGCUAGGGUUUCAAUUCUUCAUCCAAGUAGAGAGGAUCCCUCUAGUUCUUCUAGUUCUACCUCUACUUCAUCUAGAUCUAGUUCUAGUUCAUCUAGUUCUAGUUCUAGUUCCUCUAGUUCUAGUUCUAGUUAGUUCUAGUUGUAAUCUAGAAAAUAGGGAGAGAGAAGAGGAGAGCGGAGGAGGAGCCGGAUCUGUCGGAUCUUCCUCAACAUUGUACUUUUGCAGCAUCUGGUUCGUUCAUCAUCGUUCUCCAGGUUCUUCAACUCAUAACUCCUGAGUUCUCUAAUUACUUUUAUUUACAUUCAAGUUAUUUAUUGGAUUCCCGCUUGCAUCAAGUGCUCUAAUCUUUGAAACAUUAGAGUAGUAAUUAAUAGAUUAGACGUGGUGUUUAGUCUUGCAAUUACCUGGAAUUGCACCCAAUCCUGCGGAUUGUUGUGGUAGCCUUAGGGUAGUGACAGCCCUAACGGUCGACGUAUUCCACCACGUUCGGAUCGGUGUUUGUAGGACCGUAGUCAGACCUUCCUAGCCCCCUUCUCAUCUCUUUCUGUGGUUAGUGCUCUGAUGUCCCGAUAUAGAUAAUCUUGAAGUAAUUCUUGAUUCUUAGAUAAACUAGAGAACUCUCAGGAAACUUCCUCUCUUCCCACCAAAAAUAAUUAUAUAGUUAUCCUUGGGCGAUCUUGGAUCUUAAUUAGUACACUCACGUUCUCUGUGGAAAAUCGAUACUCUGGAAUACUCCCGGGUGAAAGCUACAUCGGUAUCCGUGCGCUUGCGGAUUUUUCUGUUUGCGUUUAAAAUACCCAACAGUGGGAGGGAGAGAGGAACCCACACCCCUCUCAACCCUAGGAACUCCACCUCCUUUGCAAAGUGUGCCAACACCACCAAGUGUACACCACCAUGUGCAAGUGUGUUAGCAUUUUCAUAAACAUUUUCCCAAAGGAGUUAGCCUCUCAACUUGCCACGCCACUCGAUCCUAACACGUAUGCAAAGUUAGAUCACUCAAGUGGUACUAGAUGACCGAUAUGCAAACAAGUUUGCCCCUCUUGAUAGUACGGCCAUCUAUCCUAAAUCCGGUCAUAAACUUGUCUACACACCUAUGACCGGUGAAAUGGAAAAGCCCUAGGUUAUACCUUUGCCUUGCGCUUUCCAUUCCAUCUCCUCCAAUAUUGAUGCAACACAUACACCAACCAAUCACCAAAUAAUAUGAUCCACUUCAUAUCAUCACGUGACCGUAUUGGUUCAUCGAUCUUGACCUCACUUGCUCUUCACCAUUGCCUCGGUCCAUCGGCACCAAGUCUUGCUCAAGCUUCACCGUCACACGCGGUCCCUCGCUUC